Molecule: transfer RNA, 71 nt
Filed under: Candidatus Harrisonbacteria bacterium CG10_big_fil_rev_8_21_14_0_10_49_15
Lineage: Bacteria; Candidatus Harrisoniibacteriota
Description: tRNA-Gly
Rfam family: tRNA
About the family: Transfer RNA (tRNA) molecules are approximately 80 nucleotides in length. Their secondary structure includes four short double-helical elements and three loops (D, anti-codon, and T loops).
Source: RNAcentral
GCGGAUAUAGUUUAGUGGUAGAAUGAGUGCUUCCCAAGCAUUAGGCGCGAGUCCGAUUCUCGCUAUCCGCA